RNAcentral lists this long non-coding RNA (1039 nucleotides) under Solanum tuberosum (potato). RNAcentral's name for it is "long non-coding RNA (STUB_LNC002255)". Lineage: Eukaryota; Viridiplantae; Streptophyta; Magnoliopsida; Solanales; Solanaceae. The record is from RNAcentral.
AAAAAAGUGAAAUACAGUCUUAAUCCUCUUGACUGAAUUUUGCUCGUAUAUCUCGAGUUCUUUUCUCUGCAGAUCACCCACCACAUACAAGGAGGAAUUGUAUGCUACAUCUUGUUUCAACUCUUGCCUACACCAACAACUCCUAAAAUCCUAUUUAUUCCCACGCAUGAAGCCUUUGAUUCUGGCAAAGUUGAGAAAUAACUAACAUAGGUGGUCAGUAAAAGGUCAGUGCAAAACAAAGGGUGUUUAAUGGUUUCCGUUUGAAAACCAUAUAAAUCGCAUCUGUGAUGUAUACCAUGAUGUAUCUCACAUGAUGCGUACCCAUCCAUUUCUAACUCUUUCUAUCUUGUUCUUUUCAAUUUCCCUUUUCCUAUAUCUCUUUUUGUUGCCUCUCAUGCUAGUCUCCAUCAAAAAACAUGUUUCAAGUAGUAAAUAGAUCACACAAAACUAUCCAAUUUGUAUCCAUCCAUGUUUUAACUAUUGCUAUCUUUGUUCUUCUAUUCUCUUUUCCCACUACCACUACCUCUACCUCUCUCUGUUGCAUCUCUUGUUGGUCUGCAUUUAAGGAAUCACUUUUAUAAAAGGUUGUCUUUUCUUCAAAAGGAUGUUGAAACAUGUGACUGAAUGUUAUACAUGAUAUAUCUCAAUUCUCACAUGAUAUACACUCAUCUAGUAACUUUUGUUAUCUUUGUUUUUCUCUAUUUUGCUUUUACCAAGGAUACACUACCUCUAUCUCCGGCAUCUCCUGCUAGUUUCCUUUAAAAAGCAUGUUUUCCGCUGUACAUAGGAUGUAUCGCACAUAAAUAUGUACUCAUCCAUUUUCUACCUCAAUUUCUAUUUGCUCCUCUUUAUAUUCGGUUGCACACUUAAUUGUCAAUCUUAAAUGUAGGUGCUUUGUCCAGAUACAAGCAGAGAAUAUAUUCUCCCAAGAGGUGUUAUUGAAGUGUGCAUAAGAAGCUGGGUAAUGACUCUAAUCCUCCUAAACACGAAUCCUCGGAUUCUCAAAUCUGCUUGUCGAAUUCUCGGGUUCCCUCACUAG